RNAcentral lists this ribosomal RNA (490 nucleotides) under uncultured bacterium. Its description in RNAcentral is "partial 16S ribosomal RNA". It matches the Rfam family "Bacterial small subunit ribosomal RNA", at positions 28 to 507 of the family's 1533-position model. The record is from RNAcentral.
GAUGAACGCUAGCUACAGGCUUAACACAUGCAAGUCGAGGGGCAGCAUGGUCUUAGCUUGCUAAGGCCGAUGGCGACCGGCGCACGGGUGAGUAACACGUAUCCAACCUGCCGUCUACUCUUGGACAGCCUUCUGAAAGGAAGAUUAAUACAAGAUGGCAUCAUGAGUCCGCAUGUUCACAUGAUUAAAGGUAUUCCGGUAGACGAUGGGGAUGCGUUCCAUUAGAUAGUAGGCGGGGUAACGGCCCACCUAGUCUUCGAUGGAUAGGGGUUCUGAGAGGAAGGUCCCCCACAUUGGAACUGAGACACGGUCCAAACUCCUACGGGAGGCAGCAGUGAGGAAGAUUGGUCAAUGGGCGCAGGCCUGAACCAGCCAAGUAGCGUGAAGGAUGACUGCCCUAUGGGUUGUAAACUUCUUUUAUAAAGGAAUAAAGUCGGGUAUGUAUACCCGUUUGCAUGUACUUUAUGAAUAAGGAUCGGCUAACUCCGUG